AUGUCAGCGGUUCGAGUCCGCUUAUCUCCAGCCCGUGAACUUAGCGGAUACUAUGAUAGCGAUAGCACCGAAUUUUGCCAAUUCGGCAGUUCGAUCUAUGAUUUCACAUUCAUGGACGUUGAUAAGAUCCUUCCAUUUAGUAGCACCUUAGGAUGGCAUAGCCUUAACGUUAAUGGAGAGGUUCAAAAGAGGAAAGGCUUGCGGUGGAUACCUAGGCACCCAGAGACGAGGAAGGGCAUAGCAAGCGACGAAAUGCUUCGGGGAGUUGAAAAUAAGCAUAGAUCCGGAGAUUCCCAAAUAGGUCAACCUUUUAAACUGCCUGCGGAAUCCAUGAGCAGGCAAGAGACAACCUGGCGAACUGAAACAUCUUAG
RNAcentral lists this ribosomal RNA (372 nucleotides) under Triticum aestivum (bread wheat). Its description in RNAcentral is "partial small subunit ribosomal RNA". The stretch from base 181 to 372 matches the Rfam family "Bacterial large subunit ribosomal RNA", at positions 1 to 206 of the family's 2925-position model. The record is from RNAcentral. Lineage: Eukaryota; Viridiplantae; Streptophyta; Magnoliopsida; Poales; Poaceae.